GAAGCUGGAAUUGCUAGUAAUCACAGGUCAGCAUACUGUGGUGAAUACGUUCCCGGGCCUUGUACACACCGCCCGUCACACCAUGAGAGUUGAGAAUACCCGAAGUCCAUGUCAAAGUGGCCGAAGGUAGGCUUGAUGAUUGGGGUGAAGUCGUAACAAGGUACC
Molecule: ribosomal RNA, 165 nt
Filed under: uncultured bacterium
Lineage: Bacteria
Description: partial 16S ribosomal RNA
Rfam family: Bacterial small subunit ribosomal RNA
Source: RNAcentral